CCGAAUUGUUUAAUAAAUUGUUUAUUCGCACUUUUAAGUAAGUUUUCACAUUUUGUUUUAUUUUCAAUCAAUUAAUUUCAGCACAACACAAAAUUCUUCAGAAUUCAAUUGAUAAAGCGAUGCAUGACGUAGCAAACGUUACCACGGAAAUUGAAGCGAAUAUUAAGAAGACUUUUC
Molecule: non-coding RNA, 177 nt
Organism: Styela clava
Lineage: Eukaryota; Metazoa; Chordata; Ascidiacea; Stolidobranchia; Styelidae
Source: RefSeq, a predicted model, not a curated record